UCCCAUGAUUUUGAUUUCAGGAAGUGUC
RNAcentral lists this non-coding RNA (28 nucleotides) under Mus musculus (house mouse). The record is from RNAcentral. Lineage: Eukaryota; Metazoa; Chordata; Mammalia; Rodentia; Muridae.